UUAUUUGGAUGCUGCUCAGCUG
Molecule: non-coding RNA, 22 nt
Filed under: Arabidopsis thaliana (thale cress)
Lineage: Eukaryota; Viridiplantae; Streptophyta; Magnoliopsida; Brassicales; Brassicaceae
Source: RNAcentral